This 503-nucleotide ribosomal RNA is filed under the name uncultured bacterium. RNAcentral's name for it is "partial 16S ribosomal RNA". It matches the Rfam family "Bacterial small subunit ribosomal RNA", at positions 28 to 523 of the family's 1533-position model. The record is from RNAcentral.
GAUGAACGCUAGCGGCAGGCCUGACACAUGCAAGUCGAGGGGUAGCAGGAUUAAGCUUGCUUAAUUGCUGACGACCGGCGCACGGGUGCGUAACGCGUAUGCAACCUACCUUAUACUGGGGUAUAGCCCGGAGAAAUUCGGAUUAAUCCCCCAUAGUACUAAUGAAUCGCAUGGUUUAUUAGUUAAAGCAUUGCGGUAUAAGAUGGGCAUGCGUCCUAUUAGCUAGAUGGUGAGGUAACGGCUCACCAUGGCUACGAUAGGUAGGGGGCCUGAGAGGGUGGUCCACCACACGGGUACUGAGACACGGACCAGACUCCUGCGGGAGGCAGCAGUGAGGAAUCUUGGUCAAUGGGCGCAAGCCUGAACCAGCCAUGCCGCGUGCAGGAAGAAUGCCCUAUGGGUUGUAAACUGCUUUUAUUUGGGAAUAAACCUCUUUACGUGUAGAGAGCUGAAGGUACCAAAUGAAUAAGCACCGGCUAACUCCGUGCCAGCAGCCGCGGUAA